This 499-nucleotide ribosomal RNA is filed under the name Lyponia delicatula. RNAcentral's name for it is "partial large subunit ribosomal RNA". It matches the Rfam family "Bacterial large subunit ribosomal RNA", at positions 1816 to 2595 of the family's 2925-position model. Lineage: Eukaryota; Metazoa; Arthropoda; Insecta; Coleoptera; Lycidae. The record is from RNAcentral.
CAUGUCCUUUUGAUUAUAAUUUAAGGUCUGAUCUGCUCAAUGAUUUUUAAAUAGCCGCAGUAUUUUAACUGUGCAAAGGUAGCAUAAUAAUUAGUCUCUUAAUUAGGGGCUUGUAUGAAUGAUUGGACGAGAAAAUUUCUGUCUCCUUUUAAUUGGUUUUUGAAUUUUAUUUUUAAGUUAAAAAGCUUAAAUUUUUAUAAAAGACGAGAAGACCCUAUAGAGUUUUAUAUCCAAAGAUUAUUAAUAUAUAGUAAUUUCUUUAUUUUUUGGGUAUUUAGUUGGGGUGACUUGGAGAUUAAAUUAAUUCUUUAAAUAUUAAGUUGAUGAUUUUUAAAUUCAAAAUCUAUUUUUUUAAGUUUAAAAUUAAUUACCUUAGGGAUAACAGCGUAAUAUUUCUUUAAAGCUCUUAUUGAAAGGAAAUUUUGCGACCUCGAUGUUGGAUUAAAAUUAAUUUUUGGUGCAGUAACUUAAAAAUUGGGUCUGUUCGACCUUUAAAAUU